UUCUUCGGAGAGUUUGAUCCUGGCUCAGGAUGAACGCUGGCGGCGUGCCUAAUACAUGCAAGUCGAGCGAUCUGAUUUUAAGCUUGCUUCUAUGAGGUUAGCGGCGGACGGGUGAGAAACACGUGGGCAACCUGCCUGUAAGACUGGGAUAACUUCGGGAAACCGAAGCUAAUACCGGAUAGGAUCUUCUCCUUCAUGGGAGAUGAUUGAAAGAUGGAUUCGGCUAUCACUUACAGAUGGGCCCGCGGUGC
Molecule: ribosomal RNA, 251 nt
Filed under: Priestia aryabhattai
Lineage: Bacteria; Bacillati; Bacillota; Bacilli; Caryophanales; Bacillaceae
Description: Bacillus aryabhattai partial 16S ribosomal RNA
Rfam family: Bacterial small subunit ribosomal RNA
Source: RNAcentral